RNAcentral lists this ribosomal RNA (299 nucleotides) under Schoenlandella variegata. RNAcentral describes it as "partial 16S ribosomal RNA". Lineage: Eukaryota; Metazoa; Arthropoda; Insecta; Hymenoptera; Braconidae. The record is from RNAcentral.
AUUAAAUAGCUGCAGUAAAUAUAACUGUACAAAGGUAGCAUAAUAAAUAGUUUAUUAAUUAUAAACUUGUAUGAAAGAUUUAAUGUAAUAAAUACUGUUUUAAUUUAAAAUAAUGAAUUUUUUUUUUAAGUAAAAAAACUUAAAUAAAAUUAAAAGACGAGAAGACCCUAUAGAAUUUUAUAUUUAAUUGGGGUGAUUGUAAAAUUUAAAAAACUUUUAUAUAAAUAAACAAUAAUUAUUGAAUAAAUUAUAUUUUUUUAAAAAAAAUAAAAUAAAUUACCUUAGGGAUAACAGCAUAA